UACGGGGGGGGCAAGCGUUGUUCGGAAUUACUGGGCGUAAAGGGCUCGUAGGUGGCCAACUAAGUCAGACGUGAAAUCCCUCAGCUUAACUGGGGAACUGCGUCUGAUACUGGAUGGCUUGAGUUUGGGAGAGGGAUGCGGAAUUCCAGGUGUAGCGGUGAAAUGCGUAGAUAUCUGGAGGAAGACCGGUGGCGAAGGCGGCAUCCUGGACCAACACUGACACUGAGGAGCGAAAGCCAGGGGAGCAAACGGG
This 253-nucleotide ribosomal RNA is filed under the name uncultured bacterium. Its description in RNAcentral is "partial 16S ribosomal RNA". It matches the Rfam family "Bacterial small subunit ribosomal RNA", at positions 524 to 776 of the family's 1533-position model. The record is from RNAcentral.